AAAGGAAUAUUGUUGAGGCCCUUCGACUUGUUAGAGCCCGAGAAGGUCAGGGUGAACACCGUGAUGACGCACCAGCUUAUCCAGAUGAUGACUCAGGCUUACCAUCACGGGUACCUAAUUCAGUUUCUACAGAUGCAAAAGCUUCUAGUUCUGUUCCAUCUCCAACUUCACCCACUACUGCAG
Molecule: long non-coding RNA, 183 nt
Organism: Andrographis paniculata
Lineage: Eukaryota; Viridiplantae; Streptophyta; Magnoliopsida; Lamiales; Acanthaceae
Exons: 3
Source: RefSeq, a predicted model, not a curated record